Molecule: ribosomal RNA, 484 nt
Filed under: uncultured bacterium
Lineage: Bacteria
Description: partial 16S ribosomal RNA
Rfam family: Bacterial small subunit ribosomal RNA
Source: RNAcentral
AUUGAACGCUGGCGGCAGGCCUAACACAUGCAAGUCGAGCGGAUGAAGGGAGCUUGCUCCUGGAUUCAGCGGCGGACGUGUGAGUAAUGCCUAGGAAUCUGCCUGGUAGUGGGGGAUAACGUCCGGAAACGGGCGCUAAUACCGCAUACGUCCUGAGGGGGAAAGUGGGGGAUCUUCGGACCUCACGCUAUCAGAUGAGCCUAGGUCGGAUUAGCUAGUUGGUGGGGUAAAGGCCUACCAAGGCGACGAUCCGUAACUGGUCUGAGAGGAUGAUCAGUCACACUGGAACUGAGACACGGUCCAGACUCCUACGGGAGGCAGCAGUGGGGAAUAUUGGACAAUGGGCGAAAGCCUGAUCCAGCCAUGCCGCGUGUGUGAAGAAGGUCUUCGGAUUGUAAAGCACUUUAAGUUGGGAGGAAGGGCAGUAAGUUAAUACCUUGCUGUUUUGACGUUACCAACAGAAUAAGCACCGGCUAACUUCGUG